This 468-nucleotide ribosomal RNA is filed under the name uncultured bacterium. Its description in RNAcentral is "partial 16S ribosomal RNA". It matches the Rfam family "Bacterial small subunit ribosomal RNA", at positions 28 to 507 of the family's 1533-position model. The record is from RNAcentral.
GACGAACGCUGGCGGCGUGCUUAACACAUGCAAGUCGAACGGAAAGGCCCUGCUUUUGUGGGGUGCUCGAGUGGCGAACGGGUGAGUAACACGUGAGUAACCUGCCCUUGACUUUGGGAUAACUUCAGGAAACUGGGGCUAAUACCGGAUAGGAGCUCCUGCUGCAUGGGGGGGGUUGGAAAGUUUCGGCGGUUGGGGAUGGACUCGCGGCUUAUCAGCUUGUUGGUGGGGUAGUGGCUUACCAAGGCUUUGACGGGUAGCCGGCCUGAGAGGGUGACCGGCCACAUUGGGACUGAGAUACGGCCCAGACUCCUACGGGAGGCAGCAGUGGGGAAUAUUGCACAAUGGGCGGAAGCCUGAUGCAGCAACGCCGCGUGCGGGAUGACGGCCUUCGGGUUGUAAACCGCUUUCGCCGGUGACGAAGCGUGAGUGACGGUAAUGGGUAAAGGAGCACCGGCUAACUACGUG